UACGUAGGGUGCGAGCGUUGUCCGGAAUUAUUGGGCGUAAAGGGCUCGUAGGCGGUUUGUCGCGUCGGGAGUGAAAACACCGGGCUUAACUCGGUGCUUGCUUUCAAUACGGGCAGACUAGAGGCAUGCAGGGGAGAACGGAAUUCCUGGUGUAGCGGUGAAAUGCGCAGAUAUCAGGAGGAACACCGGUGGCGAAGGCGGUUCUCUGGGCAUGUCCUGACGCUGAGGAGCGAAAGUGUGGGGAGCGAACAGG
This 253-nucleotide ribosomal RNA is filed under the name uncultured bacterium. RNAcentral's name for it is "partial 16S ribosomal RNA". It matches the Rfam family "Bacterial small subunit ribosomal RNA", at positions 524 to 776 of the family's 1533-position model. The record is from RNAcentral.